GAACAGACUGAUGCAUCAGGAUAAGU
This 26-nucleotide non-coding RNA is filed under the name Homo sapiens (human). Lineage: Eukaryota; Metazoa; Chordata; Mammalia; Primates; Hominidae. The record is from RNAcentral.